Long non-coding RNA from Malurus melanocephalus (red-backed fairy wren), 1953 nucleotides. RefSeq lists it as uncharacterized. The transcript has 3 exons. The record is from RefSeq and is a predicted model, not a curated record. NCBI's taxonomy places the organism in Eukaryota, Metazoa, Chordata, Aves, Passeriformes, Maluridae.
CACAGGCGGGGCCGGCCGCGCUCCCCCCGCGGCUCCUCAGCCGUCACAGAAGCCUCCGGACGCUACACGGCGCACCCGCCUCACGCCGACCAGGACAACGCAGCAAUUGCAAUGCCGGGAUGAAGGCAGAAGCCACACAGCAGGUAAAGACAGUAACCCGAACGCCAGGGCAGUGCCCGAAGCACCAGCACAGGUGAAAGCAGUAACUCCAACACCGGCAGAACCAACCCUGGAAGGCUCCCGGCAGCACAGCGCACCAACCCUAACACUGGGAGAACCCUAGGCCCUGCACAGAAGGACAAGACACGCUCCAAAAAGAUACCGGACCUCGCUGGGUGCCAGCACGGUGURUGAGACCUGAUUUGAAGCAGAACGAAUGCAGAAACGAUGAUGGCACAGGUUAGAGUUCUUCUGACCAUCCUCAUCGUCGCCUCCAUGGCAGCCUGGAGUUGUGGUGGGAAGGAGCAGCACUGAUGCCCUCUCUGCCUAAAGGGAAUAUUCGGGUGACUCUAGCUCAUGCUUUGAAUCAAUCAUCUGUGUGUGUGUCGCUUGCUACGCCUUGCUCUCCUUUUCAGACAUGCUUGCUAGGAGUGCCAUUGCAAAAUGAGACAUUAAUACGGGCACUAGCGAAUGGAACAAUGGGACGAGGGGAAGCAAGGCUGACACCACCUAUCCUCAUGAAGCACAGGAACUAGAUUUAUUGGGGUGUCUUCAUGCACUUGCUUGCGUGAUGUUUAAGAUAUGCCCUGCUUGGUACAGGGAGUGCUACAAAGGAGUGGYAGCUGGAUUGAUGGGUUGUUUGACAAAUGGGGCUUCUCAGUGUGGCUCAGGGAUAUGCUGAGGACGGGUGGAGUCAUSUUGCUUGUGAUAUUGUUAAUGUUGUUGUUGGAGCUGUGCUUGCUGUCUUUUCUGCAAAGGUCCUUGCAGAGGCCCAUAAACACAGCAUUUUUGAUUCAAAACAGAAAAGGGGACCUGUGGGAGAAAAAAUUGGCCCCACAAGCCCUGAAUGUGAAAUGCAGGCAAUUAUUGUGUAUCACUGAGUCCUGGGAAAAGAAAGGGAGUGUUAACAGCCUACAUGGAGGAGGAAUACCACAUUCUUGGCUACUGCUGAGAAAAGGAAAUUGGAAUGUAGAAUCGAUAAUGCAGGUGGCUGGAAAUUAUAAACAUUAGUAGUACUGUAGCUUUUGCAAACUCACCAAUUAUGUUCUGAAGACUAAUUAAACAGCUGUCUCUUAACCAGUGUAUGGUUGACACAAAUGUAUAUUCUGAUUGCUAAAGUGGAUAAAAGAGGCUUGUCUCACAAUAAACUUCCUUCUUUCUGUCUGGUUUUUUUCACUUAGUUUUGUGUGGUUUGUAUCUAUUAUUUUAUGUUGCUGUUUGGGCAGCAGCAACAAAAAAAUCACACAAGAAAGGUCAACACACAAAGUCACAGGACAUCACAGAGUGUCCCUGAGUGUCCACAGCUGUCCCCCACACCUCCACCUGCCCCUUACACCCACCUGGCCUCUGCUAUCCCUUGGCAGUGCACCCCAAGAUCACUCAGAGCCACCCCAGAAAUUGAUACCUGAUCGAUAACCGCUCCUAUCUGAUCCAUUGUAAACCAAACACAUUCCCCUCUGUCCACUCGUCACUUUGGUCUAUCUGUCCUGACCAAUUGCUGUAAUUGCAAAAAUAACGGUAAAGAAUGUUUGUGAGGUUGAAGAAUGGGAUCCUCUAGCUGUUAACAAAAGCAUCAGGACCUGAGGUAUCACUGCCCUUUUUGAGGAUAAUKGACAGGAAUAAAUAAAUUUUCAUUCAUUGGCCCUUAAGAAGCUUGGGCAUGUUCUCUAAUUAGCAAAAGUGAGCAAAACCCACCUUUUCCUACUACUGAGGACAUGUCAUCUUUAUGACCAGACAUUUAUUGUCAAUCCAUAGUGCCUUAUGGACACUGAUACCAAAGCCAAGUACAUUACU